This is a long non-coding RNA of Bufo gargarizans (Asiatic toad), 290 nucleotides long. RefSeq lists it as uncharacterized. The transcript has 2 exons. The record is from RefSeq and is a predicted model, not a curated record. NCBI's taxonomy places the organism in Eukaryota, Metazoa, Chordata, Amphibia, Anura, Bufonidae.
CAGCAGGGCGCAGAAGGAAAGGUGCGCCAUAUGGUUUCUGGAAGGCAGAUUUUGCUGGUGUCAGAGUGAUUCUAUCAAGGUAGAGAUUGAGUAAUUAUUUCGGCCGAGAAAUACACAGACAGAUGCAGAUAGCUUUGUCUGAGGAGAUCUGGUUAGACCGCCCAUAAGUGCUUUAUUUUAUACACAUCUCAACAUAGGAGUUACAAGAUGAGAUAAGGUGUUUACAGUACUAUGAUUGGUCAAUACAAGUUAUAUAAUUACACGUGAUACAUAUUGGCAACAAAAAGUAU